RNAcentral lists this ribosomal RNA (478 nucleotides) under uncultured bacterium. Its description in RNAcentral is "partial 16S ribosomal RNA". It matches the Rfam family "Bacterial small subunit ribosomal RNA", at positions 28 to 507 of the family's 1533-position model. The record is from RNAcentral.
GAUGAACGCUGGCGGCGUGCCUAACACAUGCAAGUCGAACGGAGUCCAGCCUUUAAGACCUUCGGGUCAAAGAGGGGAAGACUGAGUGGCGGACGGGUGAGUAACACGUGGGCAACCUGGCUCAUAGAGGGGGAUAACAGAGAGAAAUUUCUGCUCAUACCGCAUAAGCACACACUGCCGCAUGGCAGAGGGUGGAAGGAGAAUCGCUAUGAGAUGGACCCGCGUCUGAUUAGCUAGUUGGCAGGGUAAGAGCCUACCAAAGCGACGAACAGUAGCCGAGCGGAGGAGAUGAACGGCCACGUUGGGACUGAGACACGGCCCAAACUCCGACGGAGGGCAGCAGUAGGGGAUAUUGCACAAUGGGGGGAACCCUAGUGCAGCGACGCCGCGUGAGUGAAGAAUUAGUUCGGUAUGUAAAGCUCUAUCAGCAGGGAAGAUAAUGACAGUACCUGAAUAAGAAGCCCCGGCUAACUACGUG